CGGCUGUUCCCGCGGCCCCGGCGGCUCCUGCGCGCUCGGGCCGCCGCCGGGAUCGGGGUUCCUGUCGUGGGGCGGCGAGGCUGUCGGGAGAACAGAGGAGAGGCCGGGAGGCUGCGGGAGGGAGGCUGGCCGAGGAGGACUAAACGUAAUUGACAGCUGUGGUUGGAGAACAAGCUCUUUCUGCCCCCUCUUCAAUGUCUGUAUAAACAUCCGCCCUCUUGUGUGCACCGUUUGUUGAGGAAGUACCGAGAGCGAACCCCAGGGGGCGCGGUCUCCUGGUACAGGUCCUCCCAAUGGUGGAAGCGCCCCUGACAACGGAACUGUUUGGUUUUCCCAUCCGUGUUUACACUGUCAUCUUGGUCUCCAGAAUCGGGCAUUUGUGAGCGGAUUCUUAUCCGGCUUCCUGGACACCACUGCCUGGUAAACUACAGCGAAGAGACGUUGAAAGCCUAGCUGGGAGGCAGAGGCCCCGGGUGAAGUAUAAAAGCACACACAUUGCUUACAAUUUCCCCUCCUUUGAUGGUGGAGGAAAAAAAAACUCCUCUAAAUGGUACGGCAUGCAAACAAAUUUUUUUAAAUUAUUAGUGAUAUUCCCCAGGGCUCCAGACAGAUUGGUGAGCAGACUUCAGCCAACUCGGAAGCCGGGCAACUUUCCAUGCCCGGUUACACAACAUCAGCUCCCCGUUUGCCUGGGUCCCAGCGCCCUCCGGACAGGCUCGGGGACCCGUCUGUAUUUUCCUCUGUCGUUUGAACCGGCUGGUUUUCAGCAUUUCUCUCCUCUUGCACGGAAGAGCUUGGUCCGCCCGUUUGCAGCUCUUGCAACACUUCAUUUAAAGCGAUUUAUCUCGCCAAACUGAUAAUCUCCUUGAACAUCAGCUUUCACCCAGCAAUAAUAGCUGGUUGCAGUUCAUGUUUUUGCAAAGAGGUGGAUUCUGACUCAUCGUGGCCCACGUUGUCCCACACACACAGCUGAAUAAAGUCCUGGUGGACGUCCAAUUCCCGACUGUCAA
Molecule: long non-coding RNA, 1010 nt
Organism: Eptesicus fuscus (big brown bat)
Lineage: Eukaryota; Metazoa; Chordata; Mammalia; Chiroptera; Vespertilionidae
Exons: 2
Source: RefSeq, a predicted model, not a curated record